GGCCUGUGCCCAUCUGGAGAAAGUGACGUGGCCACAGGAAGAAGGCAGGGUUUGCAGACAGUGUCAGAGGGAGACAGCAGUGCUGGAUCAGGAUGGUCUCAGAGUCGAAGGAAUGUGCCCGUGGUGGCCGGCAGUCAGAGUCCUAGGAGCCAGGCCAUCCUGAUUGCCUCUGCCCCGAGUUUCUCCAAGAGCCAUACUUACAUCUUGAGAGGACAAUUACUGGACAACGGACCGAGCGUGAGGAUAAGUACAGUGUUCUCUGUUGCAAAUUUUGCGUCUGAACAAUCAAGCUUUAUUCAUUUCUUGUUUGCUCAUCAUGUUAACCUUUUAUUAUGCAAAACUGUCAAUUCAAUU
Long non-coding RNA from Mirounga angustirostris (Northern elephant seal), 354 nucleotides. RefSeq lists it as uncharacterized. The record is from RefSeq and is a predicted model, not a curated record. The transcript has 2 exons. Lineage: Eukaryota; Metazoa; Chordata; Mammalia; Carnivora; Phocidae.